GAUGCGCUUGGGCUCCCUGUUCGUUCCCACAUGCAGGGCAGCACAAGGAGAAUGGGCGUCAUGACUGAUGUCCACCGGCGCUUCCUCCAGUUGCUGAUGACCCAUGGCGUGCUAGAGGAAUGGGACGUGAAGCGCUUGCAGAGGCACUGCUACAAGGUCCAUGACCGUGAGUACCGUUUCCCUGUUCCCAGGGCGCUCUGGUGCUGUGUUGAUCAGGGACCAGUGACAUAGGUACAAUACCAUGUAACUUGUUAACCGG
RNAcentral lists this small RNA (259 nucleotides) under Pan troglodytes (chimpanzee). Its description in RNAcentral is "retained intron". Lineage: Eukaryota; Metazoa; Chordata; Mammalia; Primates; Hominidae. The record is from RNAcentral.